Molecule: ribosomal RNA, 1365 nt
Filed under: uncultured beta proteobacterium
Lineage: Bacteria; Pseudomonadati; Pseudomonadota; Betaproteobacteria
Description: 16S ribosomal RNA
Rfam family: Bacterial small subunit ribosomal RNA
Source: RNAcentral
UGAACGCUGGCGGCAUGCCUUACACAUGCAAGUCGAGCGGCAGCACGGGUGCUUGCACCUGGUGGCGAGUGGCGAACGGGUGAGUAAUACAUCGGAACAUGUCCUGUAGUGGGGGAUAGCCCGGCGAAAGCCGGAUUAAUACCGCAUACGAUCUACGGAUGAAAGCGGGGGACCUUCGGGCCUCGCGCUAUAGGGUUGGCCGAUGGCUGAUUAGCUAGUUGGUGGGGUAAAGGCCUACCAAGGCGACGAUCAGUAGCUGGUCUGAGAGGACGACCAGCCACACUGGGACUGAGACACGGCCCAGACUCCUACGGGAGGCAGCAGUGGGGAAUUUUGGACAAUGGGCGAAAGCCUGAUCCAGCAAUGCCGCGUGUGUGAAGAAGGCCUUCGGGUUGUAAAGCACUUUUGUCCGGAAAGAAAUCCUUGGCUCUAAUACAGUCGGGGGAUGACGGUACCGGAAGAAUAAGCACCGGCUAACUACGUGCCAGCAGCCGCGGUAAUACGUAGGGUGCGAGCGUUAAUCGGAAUUACUGGGCGUAAAGCGUGCGCAGGCGGUUUGCUAAGACCGAUGUGAAAUCCCCGGGCUCAACCUGGGAACUGCAUUGGUGACUGGCAGGCUAGAGUAUGGCAGAGGGGGGUAGAAUUCCACGUGUAGCAGUGAAAUGCGUAGAGAUGUGGAGGAAUACCGAUGGCGAAGGCAGCCCCCUGGGCCAAUACUGACGCUCAUGCACGAAAGCGUGGGGAGCAAACAGGAUUAGAUACCCUGGUAGUCCACGCCCUAAACGAUGUCAACUAGUUGUUGGGGAUUCAUUUCCUUAGUAACGUAGCUAACGCGUGAAGUUGACCGCCUGGGGAGUACGGUCGCAAGAUUAAAACUCAAAGGAAUUGACGGGGACCCGCACAAGCGGUGGAUGAUGUGGAUUAAUUCGAUGCAACGCGAAAAACCUUACCUACCCUUGACAUGGUCGGAAUCCCGCUGAGAGGUGGGAGUGCUCGAAAGAGAACCGGCGCACAGGUGCUGCAUGGCUGUCGGCAGCUCGUGUCGUGAGAUGUUGGGUUAAGUCCCGCAACGAGCGCAACCCUUGUCCUUAGUUGCUACGCAAGAGCACUCUAAGGAGACUGCCGGUGACAAACCGGAGGAAGGUGGGGAUGACGUCAAGUCCUCAUGGCCCUUAUGGGUAGGGCUUCACACGUCAUACAAUGGUCGGAACAGAGGGUUGCCAACCCGCGAGGGGGAGCUAAUCCCAGAAAACCGAUCGUAGUCCGGAUUGCACUCUGCAACUCGAGUGCAUGAAGCUGGAAUCGCUAGUAAUCGCGGACCAGCAUGCCGCGGUGAAUACGUUCCCGGGUCUUGUACACACCGCC